Molecule: unclassified non-coding RNA, 165 nt
Filed under: uncultured fungus
Lineage: Eukaryota; Fungi
Description: sequence contains ITS1
Source: RNAcentral
AAGAGUUGUAAAACUCCCAAAACCAUUGUGAACCUUACCUAUACCGUUGCUUCGGCGGGCGGCAUUACGCCCUAACCUGCUCUUCAUCAGGGGAGCAGACCCGCCGGAAGCACCUAAAACUCUUGAUUUUAGUUGGCCUCUCUGAGUUAACUUUUAAAUAAGUCA